UGAGGAAUAUUGGUCAAUGGGCGAGAGCCUGAACCAGCCAAGUCGCGUGAAGGAAGACAGUUCUAAGGACUGUAAACUUCUUUUAUACGGGAAUAACGGGCGAUACGAGUAAUGCAUUGAAUGUACCGUAAGAAUAAGCAUCGGCUAACUCCGUGCCAGCAGCCGCGGUAAUACGGAGGAUGCGAGCGUUAUCCGGAUUUAUUGGGUUUAAAGGGUGCGUAGGUUGUUCGGUAAGUCAGCUGUGAAACCUGAGCGCUCAACGUUCAGCGGUCCGUUGAAACUGCCGGGCUUGAGUUCAGUGGAGGAAGGCGGAAUUCGUGGUGUAGCGGUGAAAUGCAUAGAUAUCACGAGGAACACCGAUUGCGAAGGCAGCUUGCCAUACUGCGACUGACACUGAAGCACGAAGGCGUGGGUAUCAAACAGG
RNAcentral lists this ribosomal RNA (424 nucleotides) under Fusobacteriota bacterium. RNAcentral's name for it is "Fusobacteria bacterium partial 16S ribosomal RNA". It matches the Rfam family "Bacterial small subunit ribosomal RNA", at positions 355 to 776 of the family's 1533-position model. Lineage: Bacteria; Fusobacteriati; Fusobacteriota. The record is from RNAcentral.